CCAGACUCCUACGGGAGGCAGCAGUGGGGAAUAUUGCACAAUGGGGGAAACCCUGAUGCAGCGACGCCGCGUGGGUGAAGAAGCGCCUCGGCGCGUAAAGCCCUGUCAGCAGGGAAGAAAAUGACGGUACCUGACUAAGAGGCCCCGGCUAACUACGUGCCAGCAGCCGCGGUAAUACGUAGGGGGCAAGCGUUAUCCGGAUUUACUGGGUGUAAAGGGAGCGUAGACGGCGAUGCAAGUCUGAAGUGAAAGGCGGGGGCCCAACCCCCGGACUGCUUUGGAAACUGUAUAGCUGGAGUGCAGGAGAGGUAAGUGGAAUUCCUAGUGUAGCGGUGAAAUGCGUAGAUAUUAGGAGGAACACCAGUGGCGAAGGCGGCCUACUGGACGGUGACUGACGCUGAGGCUCGAAAGCGUGGGGAGCAAACAGGAUUAGAUACCCGUGUAUAA
Molecule: ribosomal RNA, 447 nt
Filed under: uncultured bacterium
Lineage: Bacteria
Description: bacterial SSU rRNA
Rfam family: Bacterial small subunit ribosomal RNA
Source: RNAcentral